CAAGGCGGGGAAUAGCCCAGAGUAAAUUUGGAUUAAUACCCAUAAUAUAUUUGAUAAGGCAUCUUAUUAAUAUUAAAGCUUCGGCACUUGAUGAUGGGUGUGCGGCUGAUUAGAUAGUUGGCGGGGUAAACGGCCCACCAAGUCUACGAUCAGUAGCUGAUGUGAGAGCAUGAUCAGCCACACGGGCACUGGAGACACGGGCCCGACUCCUACGGGAGGCAGCAGUAAGGAAUAUUGGACAAUGGACAAAGUCUGAUCCAGCCAUGCCGCGUGAAGGAUUAAGGUCCUCUGGAUUGUAAACUUCUUUUAUAUGGGACGAAAAAAGGGCAUUCUUGUUCACUUGACGGUACCAUAUGAAUAAGCACCGGCUAACUCCGUG
Molecule: ribosomal RNA, 379 nt
Filed under: uncultured bacterium
Lineage: Bacteria
Description: bacterial SSU rRNA
Rfam family: Bacterial small subunit ribosomal RNA
Source: RNAcentral